GACGUGGGGUGCAAGCGUUGUCCGGAAUUACUGGGCGUAAAGGGCGUGUAGGUGGCCUUCUAAGUCUCCUUUGAAAGGUCUCGGCUCAACCGAGAUUGCGGAGGAGAAACUAUGAGGCUAGACGGUGAUAGGGGCAGACAGAAUUCCCGGUGAAGGGGUAAAAUCCGUUGAUAUCGGGAGGAAUACCAGUGGCGAAGGCGGUCUGCUAGGUCACUCGUGACACUGAGGCGCGAAAGUCUGGGGAGCGAAAGGG
Molecule: ribosomal RNA, 253 nt
Filed under: uncultured bacterium
Lineage: Bacteria
Description: partial 16S ribosomal RNA
Rfam family: Bacterial small subunit ribosomal RNA
Source: RNAcentral